AGGAAGGACCGCAUGGCGGGGAAAGGAGGCCCAGCCGGAAAGGAUAUCACGGCGGCGGAGGUGUGCUAGCUGGCCGAGGCCCCUGGGAAGAUGAAUAAGAAGAAGGUGGUCACCGCCUCGUCGAUUACAUGAUUGUAAAUCCCUACGUGCCCUGGCUUCCGUGAAGAGACGCUGCUCAAGCUCCAUCCAGAGCUGGAGUCAUG
Molecule: long non-coding RNA, 203 nt
Filed under: Setaria italica (foxtail millet)
Lineage: Eukaryota; Viridiplantae; Streptophyta; Magnoliopsida; Poales; Poaceae
Description: long non-coding RNA (SITA_LNC005578)
Source: RNAcentral